AUUGAACGCUGGCGGCAGGCCUAACACAUGCAAGUCGAGCGGAUGACGGGAGCUUGCUCCUUGAUUCAGCGGCGGACGGGUGAGUAAUGCCUAGGAAUCUGCCUGGUAGUGGGGGACAACGUUUCGAAAGGAACGCUAAUACCGCAUACGUCCUACGGGAGAAAGCAGGGGACCUUCGGGUCUUGCGCUGUCAGAUGAGCCUAGGUCGGAUUAGCUAGUUGGUGGGGUAAUGGCUCACCAAGGCGACGAUCCGUAACUGGUCUGAGAGGAUGAUCAGUCACACUGGAACUGAGACACGGUCCAGACUCCUACGGGAGGCAGCAGUGGGGAAUAUUGGACAAUGGGCGAAAGCCUGAUCCAGCCAUGCCGCGUGUGUGAAGAAGGUCUUCGGAUUGUAAAGCACUUUAAGUUGGGAGGAAGGGCAGUAAGCUAAUACCUUGCUGUUUUGACGUUACCGACAGAAUAAGCACCGGCUAACUCUGUGCCAGCCGCCGCGGUAA
RNAcentral lists this ribosomal RNA (500 nucleotides) under uncultured bacterium. RNAcentral describes it as "partial 16S ribosomal RNA". It matches the Rfam family "Bacterial small subunit ribosomal RNA", at positions 30 to 523 of the family's 1533-position model. The record is from RNAcentral.